GCCUAUUGCUAGGGGUCUGUAAAUCCUUAUUUUUAUAUGGUUUUUGCAGUGAGAAACACCCUUCGAACCUGAUGCGGGUCAUACCGCCGUAGGGAAGCGCCUUUAUGCUCCU
Molecule: non-coding RNA, 112 nt
Filed under: Methylophilaceae bacterium 11
Lineage: Bacteria; Pseudomonadati; Pseudomonadota; Betaproteobacteria; Nitrosomonadales; Methylophilaceae
Also listed under: 1 other name
Description: TPP riboswitch aptamer (THI element)
Rfam family: TPP riboswitch aptamer (THI element)
About the family: Vitamin B(1) in its active form thiamin pyrophosphate (TPP) is an essential coenzyme that is synthesised by coupling of pyrimidine and thiazole moieties in bacteria. The previously detected thiamin-regulatory element, thi box was extended, resulting in a new, highly conserved RNA secondary structure, the THI element, which is widely distributed in eubacteria and also occurs in some archaea. Analysis of operon structures identified a large number of new candidate thiamin-regulated genes, mostly transporters, in various prokaryotic organisms.
Source: Rfam by way of RNAcentral